GAAACUGUAAACUUGUUUCUGUAAGGGCAGAGGCUCGUUUCCAUCGGCGGGCCUGGAGGAGGGGCGCGGGGCCACCGGUCGAGCGCGCGUCGGGGCGCCGGCGGCGGCUUGGCCGUGGUGGCAGUGGCAGAUUUCCAACCGCCUCCGCGUCUCCGCCCACAUGCGAAGCCAUUGCUAUUCACCUCCGGACGGGCGAGGAAGAACGCGGCGGUUGGAUUUUCGCAGGAGUAUAUGCACAGUGAAAGAACUGCCUUCUCUCGGCGAAUCCAACAUAUUUCUGCAGUGAAAUUGGGCACGGGUCGCCUCCGAACUUGGCAGGCCGUACCGGAAUUGCGCACUUCCUUCUGCCUAGGCAAGCCUGAAAGAGGAAAAACAAGCACCCAUAUUUUUAUGAUUGUAGUGGUAACAGGAUAGUGCAUUAUGAUAUCAGCAUGUAACUUCUGGAAAGGCAGAGGGUUUUACAUCCUUUACAACAAACUCCGUUGUCUCGGCAUGGCAACUCCCAAGGCAACUCCUGCUAGAACUUCUACAGUCCUCGACCGGAUUUCCGUAGCUCGCAAACUCAAUAUCCGUGAUGUGUUUGCCUUGCUGACACCGGAGUCGAACUGCUGGGUGCUUUCUGCGUGACAAGAGUGAUGGAGUGGAUAACUCAUUCACACUACUGUAUACUCGGGUAACCGACAUUGUGUUCACGCUUAUCUGUAGCGGAUCACCACCCAUUUCCUCCAUGAGGACGAGGGUGUUCUCUCUAGGCUUCAGAAAGUAUUGUGGUAUGUGGUACCUUCAGAAAAGACAGUUAAAUGAGACAUCAAUUAUUGGUUUGUUGUUGAUUAUACAAGUUAAAGAAAGGAA
Aegilops tauschii subsp. strangulata is the source of this 852-nucleotide long non-coding RNA. RefSeq lists it as uncharacterized. Lineage: Eukaryota; Viridiplantae; Streptophyta; Magnoliopsida; Poales; Poaceae. The record is from RefSeq and is a predicted model, not a curated record.